RNAcentral lists this ribosomal RNA (512 nucleotides) under uncultured bacterium. RNAcentral's name for it is "partial 16S ribosomal RNA". It matches the Rfam family "Bacterial small subunit ribosomal RNA", at positions 28 to 507 of the family's 1533-position model. The record is from RNAcentral.
GACGAACGCUGGCGGCGUGCCUAAUACAUGCAAGUCGAGCGAGCGAAACUAACAGAUUUACUUCGGUAAUGACGUUAGGAAAGCGAGCGGCGGAUGGGUGAGUAACACGUGGGGAACCUGCCCCAUAGUCUGGGACACCACUUGGAAACAGGUGCUAAUACCGGAUAAGAAAGCAGAUCGCAUGAUCAGCUUUUAAAAGGCGGCGUAAGCUGUCGCUAUGGGAUGGCCCCGCGGUGCAUUAGCUAGUUGGUAAGGUAAAGGCUUACCAAGGCGAUGAUGCAUAGCCGAGUUGAGAGACUGAUCGGCCACAUUGGGACUGAGACACGGCCCAAACUCCUACGGGAGGCAGCAGUAGGGAAUCUUCCACAAUGGACGCAAGUCUGAUGGAGCAACGCCGCGUGAGUGAAGAAGGUUUUCGGAUCGUAAAGCUCUGUUGUUGGUGAAGAAGGAUAGAGGUAGUAACUGGCCUUUAUUUGACGGUAAUCAACCAGAAAGUCACGGCUAACUACGUG